UACAGGCCAAACCUCCUCAUCAAAGCCUGAUAUCACCUGACCUCAGAAUCUAAGCAGGGCUGGGCCUGGUCAGGACUUGGAUGGAAGACACCUCUGGGAAUACCAGGUGCCACAGUGA
RNAcentral lists this ribosomal RNA (118 nucleotides) under Periophthalmus magnuspinnatus. The record is from RNAcentral. Lineage: Eukaryota; Metazoa; Chordata; Actinopteri; Gobiiformes; Gobiidae.